Molecule: long non-coding RNA, 2210 nt
Filed under: Homo sapiens (human)
Lineage: Eukaryota; Metazoa; Chordata; Mammalia; Primates; Hominidae
Description: HSALNT0355987
Source: RNAcentral
AGGCAUAAGCCACCAUGCCUGGCCAGGAAUUCUUGCUUUUUAGGGUUUCGCUUAAGUUUUAGGUUAUAAGGAUAAGAAUUCUAGUUAACACAUAAUUCAGUAGGCAAAAUGUGCUGGAAAAGAUUAUGUUAGUAGUGAGAAAAAGAAUAACUUUGUAUAAUUCAGAAGUUAUCAAAUUCUAACUAACUUUUUGGAUUUUAGGCUUCUAGACAGUUUAAGCAUGUUGAAUAUACUUUCAUAAAUAGAAUUUGAGUUCUAUUUCUCUCUCUGCCUAAUUUCUUCAAAAUUUGUAAACUAUUUGUGAAUAUUCUUAAUUCAUGGCAAUAUGUUUGUCUGCAUACAGUUGAGCAGGGUCCCUAGGGCCACUCAGGGAGAAAGAACCCAGAAACCAGACAUGCUUGCAAAAGAAUAUUUCUUACCAGUUAGUCUCUGGUCUCUUUCGCUCUGUGCAAACUGGUUAAAUGAAAGGUAAAAGUCACCAUUUGUCCCUUCUGUAAAGUUUUAAAUUGGUUUAAUAAUAAUAUAAGAGCUUAAAUCAAAUAUUUUGUCAGAAAAGUGAAAAAUGUAAUGCUUUUUAUUUAGUUCAUGUGACUUGAGUAAUCUUUAGGAAAUAAACAGUUUUAAAGAUUAUUGGUAAAAUACAGUUGUCUUGAAAAUGUAAACAUGUGGUCUAAGUUAUGUUCAAAUAUUAGGUUUGCUAAAUGCUUUAAGGUCAUAAACUGCUUCUUUGGUGUUUGAAAUUUGUUUAACUUGCCUGCUUUCCAGCUAGGUAAGGCCUGAGGACAGCCCACUCGGGAUGGCCCUGGGGGCUUCUGAGAUGAAAGAGGCCUUCUUGGGAGGCUCCCAGCAUUCCCUGUGCUCUUGCCUCUUCUCCCCUCUGCCUGCCUGAAGAUCCCCCUGAGUCCCUGCCACCCCCUCUCCAUGGGGAGUUGGCCAUGCCCCUAACUAUGCUGGAAACAUUCUAAUCUUAUCAGAACACAACUUAGCAGGUUUUACAUUACAAUUAAGAUUGCUAGGAGUCACCAUUAACAUGUAAUUAAGAUUACUAGAAACAGUUUUAUAUGCAAGAUGUGUAAGAAUAGUAAAAUGUGUUUUUUUUUUUUUUUUGGUAAAAGGUUAUAAAGGGUUUUUGCUUAAAAUUUCUGAGUCAUCAUUUUGGCAAAAUAAGUAAUUUAGGGCAAUCUGGAAUUCCAAAAUCAAACUUCAGUUUCAAAAUUGUCUUUUCUAAUGCCUGGCUUUUUGGAUGGAUCAGAUGGCCCCUGAAAACAUCCAGAAAAGAGUUAUAAUAGAGUUGGAUGAACAGAAAAGUAUCUAUGCUGCAGCUGGCACUUAUGACCUACGGAAAAAUACAUUAAAUGAAGAUUAUGGAAAUUCAGUGAAGGAGAUGAGACUGCUAAGUUAAAGACCAUCUAGCUUCAGAUGAUCAUGCAACAAAGGCUCCAGCCAAUUCCAGGUAAAGACACCACCCCUGGCCAUCAAGGAGAUACCCUGCCUCCACUAGAGAGAGCAGAGUGAGAGUUCUGUGAUCCUCAAUAGGUAGAAACUACACCCCAAGCCAGCAUGAAGCAGCUACAGAAGAAAGACCAGCUGUCCCUCUGCCUCCCAUAAAGAUUUAUGAAGAUCACAUCUCUCAGUGGGGAAAUGAGUCAAGAAAAUAAUGUCUGGAGGCAGGGAACAUAAGGCCAAUUAACACUUCAGCUAUGACAGGAAAUAUCCUUUCCAUAGGGUGUACACUAAGUGACUUCGUAACCUUACUUUGUCCUCUUCAUUUACAUAGGGCAUACAGCAAGUAACCAAUGGAAACUGCUAGAGUGUAUUUAAACUCCCACAAAUUCUGUAAUGGGGCCCUAUGCUCAUGCCCAUUACCACACUGUGAAGUGUACUUUCAUUUCGAAUAAAUAUCUCCUUUUGCUACUUUAUUCUUUCCUUGCAUUUUUUUCUGCAUUUUGUCCAAUUCUUUGUUCAAGAAGCCAAGAACCUGGACACCCUCUUUCGGUAACACAAUCAACUCCUAAGUACCAACCUCCUAAUAUCAUCAUCUUGGAGGUUAAAAUGUGGUAUAUACAUUUUGUGAGAAUGUAAAGAUUUCUUUAUCCAGUCUGGUGUUGACAGGCAUUUAAUUUGAUUCCAUGACUAUGCUAUUGUGAACAGUGUUACAAUGAACAUAUGCAUGCACGUGUCUUUAUGAUAGAAUGAUUUAUAUUCUUUGA